GUCCACGCCGUAAACGAUGAAUGCUAGCCGUCGGUGGGCAUGCCCUUCGGUGGCGCAGCUAACGCAAUAAGCAUUCCGCCUGGGGAGUACUAUCGCAAGAUUAAAACUCAAAGGAAUUGACGGGGCCCGCACAAGCGGUGGAGCAUGUGGUUUAAUUCGAAGCAACGCGAAGAACCUUACCAGGCCUUGACAUCCCGAUCGCGGGUUCCUGAAAGGGAGCCUUUCAGUUCGGCUGGAUCGGUGACAGGUGCUGCAUGGCUGUCGU
This 265-nucleotide ribosomal RNA is filed under the name uncultured bacterium. RNAcentral's name for it is "partial 16S ribosomal RNA". It matches the Rfam family "Bacterial small subunit ribosomal RNA", at positions 793 to 1055 of the family's 1533-position model. The record is from RNAcentral.